ACACUCCUCUGACAGAAUGAAUGCCCUCGAUGGUGUUCCCUUCAAGUUGCCCAAGGGCUUUGUGAUAGGCACAGAGCCUCUCCCUGGGCCAGAACUCAGCAUCCCAGCCUGCGGGGAGGUUCUGCUGGGUUCUAUGUACGACUUCAGCCUGGAGAGGACGGCACUCUUCUGGGUGGAGGCCGCCGGCCAGGGACCCAGCCCGUACCAGUGCGGUGACCCGGGGACAGCGUCAGCCCCUCCAGCCUGGCUCUUGCUAGUCAGCCCCGAACAUGGGCUGGCGCCUGCGCCUACCACAAUCAGAGACCCAGAGGCCGGACACCAGGAAAGGCCGGAGGAGGAGGGUGAGGACGAGGCAGAAGCCUCCUCUGGCAGCGAGGAAGAGCCGGCCCCCAGCAGCCUCCAACCGGGUUCCCCAGCGAGCCCCGGCCCGGGCCGUCGCCUGUGCUCGCUGGACGUGCUGCGCGGCGUGCGGUCGGAGCUGGCAGGAGCGCGGCGGCGGCUCUCCGAGGGGAAGCUGGUUGCCCGGCCCCGCGCCCUCCUGCACGGCCUCCGCGGCCACCGCGCGCUAAGCCUGUGCCCAAGCCCCGCGCCGUCCCCCAGGUCCGCAUCACCCCCGGGGCCCGCGCCCCAGCACCCCGCUGCCCCCGCGUCGCCCCCGCGGCCCUCCACGGCAGGCGCCAUCCCCCCGCUGCGGAGCAACAAGCCCACGGUCGCGUCCCUCAGCCCGUACACCUGUCUGCCACCUCUUGGGGGGGCACCCCAGCCUCUCAACCCCCACAAGUCACACCCUGAUCCUGCGGCUGACCUGCUGUCUGCCCUGAGCCAGGAGGAGCAAGACCUCAUUGGGCCAGUGGUCGCCCUGGGAUAUCCCCUGCGAAGGGCCAUCAUAGCUCUGCAGAAGACAGGGAGGCAGAGCCUGAGCCAGUUUCUCAGCUACCUCAGUGCCUGUGACCGCCUGUUACGUCAGGGAUAUGAGGAAGGCCUGGUGGACGAGGCCAUGGAGAUGUUCCAGUUCUCUGAGAGCCAGGCAGGGGAGUUCCUGCGCCUCUGGGAGCAGUUCAGUGACAUGGGCUUCCAGCAGGACCGGAUCAAAGAGGUGCUGCUGGUCCAUGGCAACCGCCGAGAGCAAGCCCUGGAGGAGCUGGUGGCCUGUGCCCAGUGACCAUGGAGGCACUCCACGAUGCCUGGGCAUCCAGGCCCAGUGCCAGACCUGGUGACUCAUCCUAACUGUAUUAUUAAAACCAAGGUGGGGAGGUUGCGACCAGAGUUGUCUCCAGUCACCCAAGGCCUAUCGUUCAGAAGUCCCCAAGCAUUGAGGGGACCAGUUGCUGGAGCGGCCCAUAACUCAAGCAAGCAGAGGCCAGGGGCCAAGACUCUGGUGCCUCUGUCCUCCCCAGCCGGCCCUGCGCAAAGACCUGAAACAAUUACCGCAGAAUCAAAACAUCUCAGCCCCCUCCACCCUGCAAACAGGGCUGGACCUGGAACUGAGAGGCCUAUAAAAAAAAAACGAACAACUUCCACGUUUCUCAGGGCUUCAACCCCAGAGACUCAUCUGAAUGUGUAAUGGGGACUUCUGCAGGCCUACACACAGCAAGCUUGCAACUAGAACCAGGUCUCCAGAGGCCCAAUAGCCCCUCGGUGGUUUCCACUAAGUCUCAAUGCCUGCCAACUUGAAAUCACAAUAAAAAUAUUCUUUGGCCUUAAAA
Symphalangus syndactylus (siamang) is the source of this 1706-nucleotide RNA transcript. It is a transcript of the gene named ubiquitin associated protein 1 like, with no coding region annotated. Lineage: Eukaryota; Metazoa; Chordata; Mammalia; Primates; Hylobatidae. The record is from RefSeq and is a predicted model, not a curated record.